Vitis vinifera (wine grape) is the source of this 496-nucleotide long non-coding RNA. RefSeq lists it as uncharacterized. The transcript has 3 exons. NCBI's taxonomy places the organism in Eukaryota, Viridiplantae, Streptophyta, Magnoliopsida, Vitales, Vitaceae. The record is from RefSeq and is a predicted model, not a curated record.
UUCUGCUGAGAAUCCUCCAAAGACAGCAGUUGACUGGAGAAUUGAAAAUGGAAUUUUAUCCCUUUUAACCGGGUAUCCCUAAGCAUCCCUAAUGCAUUUUCACCUCCCAUCCCCUGCCCCUCCCUCCACUUUAUAGGUGAGACGGAUGUCUUGAAGCAAGAGGGGACUGCUCUAUUGGAAUCAUUUGUAGACCCUGUUGUAAUCCAUCAUCCCGAGGGCCACACAGUUCCAAGACUUGAUGAGAAGGCCCAGGAAACCGUGCUCCAAUUCAUCCGGAAGAUUUGGAAUAUCUCAUGGCAGGAAGAGUAGAAGGUCUGCUUAGCUGAGACAGCAGACUUGUUACUUGAUUUCUUCUCAUUAAAUAUCAUGAUAGCCUUUCCUUUUUUCCUGAUGAUUUCUGGCUGUUAGGAAAAAGACCUCUUGUUAUUUGAUGUAAUCGGAUCAAAAUAAUUCAAUCGUAUCCCAAUAUAAUGAAUGAUAAGGCUUUUGUAUAAAA